This 376-nucleotide ribosomal RNA is filed under the name uncultured bacterium. Its description in RNAcentral is "partial 16S ribosomal RNA". It matches the Rfam family "Bacterial small subunit ribosomal RNA", at positions 355 to 724 of the family's 1533-position model. The record is from RNAcentral.
UGGGGAAUUUUGGACAAUGGGCGAAAGCCUGAUCCAGCAAUGCCGCGUGUGUGAAGAAGGCCUUCGGGUUGUAAAGCACUUUUGUCCGGAAAGAAAUCCUUGGCUCUAAUACAGUCGGGGGAUGACGGUACCGGAAGAAUAAGCACCGGCUAACUACGUGCCAGCAGCCGCGGUAAUACGUAGGGUGCAAGCGUUAAUCGGAAUUACUGGGCGUAAAGCGUGCGCAGGCGGUUUGCUAAGACCGAUGUGAAAUCCCGGGCUCAACCUGGGAACUGCAUUGGUGACUGGCAGGCUAGAGUAUGGCAGAGGGGGGUAGAAUUCCACGUGUAGCAGUGAAAUGCGUAGAGAUGUGGAGGAAUACCGAUGGCGAAGGCAG